Non-coding RNA from Drosophila melanogaster (fruit fly), 734 nucleotides. Lineage: Eukaryota; Metazoa; Arthropoda; Insecta; Diptera; Drosophilidae. The record is from Ensembl.
UCAAAAAAUAACAGUCGCAGUCGACGGCACAUACAAAUUUUUUGAAUUCAAAUUCUUUAAAAUCUAAGUUUUGCAUUUAAAUCUAGUCAUUGAAUAUUUCUCAUUAACAAAAUACAAAAUUUUAUCUCUUAAACUUAACUGAAUGUUUUCGUAUUUAUUGCAGAUUUAAUGGUCAUUCAUCAUAAAAUCUUUUAAGAAUCUGUAUGAAAAUCCAAAAUAAGUCGAGAAACUAAAGCCACGUCCUCCAACAAAUUAAACUCAGUUCCCAGUUUAUCUUCAACAUAAUUAUAUUUUCCUUAACAAAUAUCGCAUAUGGUAGUCAGUUCCCUAUCUCAUUCCCAGCGCCGGCGUGUCCUUUUGCGCCGUGGACCAGCCGAGCUCCUUGUCCUUAUCAUGAUCCACUGGCACCUUGUCGAUGGCAUCCAGUAUAAACUGGAUGGAAUGCGCCGUCCGUGGCAGCCACUCCAUGAUACGAGAGGUGGUCGAGACGGGCGGUGUCGCUGCAUCGCCGUCAUCCACGAAAUCCGCAUCUCCGCCGGACAACGAACGAACUCCACCCAGGUAAUCCGUGUAGUCGUAAUCACUGGUCAGCGGAUUCACCUUGGAGUAGUAAAUGGCAGCGAACGUCGAGUAGAUAAUCAGCAGUGCUGUGCCCACCUAUAAGUUUUAUAUACAUAUUUAAAACGAUUAUAUUACACAUUGCACUCAUAUACUUUAUGUAUUUUCACUCACCU